GGAAACUGAGGCCUGGGGGGAGCAGUGGGAGGUGUCAAGGCCCCUCAGCUGGCAGUUAUGUGUCACAGCUGUGACCCGGUCACGGUCCCCCUGACUCCUCUGUUGUGCCCGCUUCGUGGGACGGUCGUUACUAGAUGCUGAGGAUGUCACAGUAAAUAUGACAAAGGUGGACCUCCCCGUGGACAGGAGAGUCGGGGGCAGCAAAGACUGUCAGCCAGGAUGAGGUUCAUCUCCAGUGCCGGCAACCCGACCACAGACGCUCGGACACACUCGGGGCCCGUCCCCUCCACUGUGCUACCUGGCCCACCCACUGCAGCUCAGGCCAUGGGGAAGAGCGAUGGAGCCCGCAGAUGUUACGUCAAGUCAUCCUCCCGGCAACCGUGCGAGGGCCUCCAGGUUGGUUACAGGCGAGAAGUCUGAGGCCCCCAGGGGUGAGGGACCCCAAAGGGCCAUGCACAGCUUGAGGCAGAGCUGGGACCACCACACCUCUGCUCCCAGAAACAGCAUCUGGAAUUCUUUCCACAGCUCUGUGUUGCCGCCUUCAAAACUAGCCUGCCGGGGCACGGCCGCCCAUUAUUUGUGCCGUUUAAAAUUUUACACUGGGUGGGAGUGAGACAAAUGGGAAGGAAAGCAGCUGGGCUGUUUAUUGGAAGAGCGAGCGUGCCAGCCACAGGCGAUGGCCGAGAGCGAUGCUCGCCCCUCUGAACCAAAACAGCGGCAGCGCACACUCCUCUGGCGAGAAGAGCAGAGUGGGGGGCACGAUUACCCCUGUGGGCCUCUGACAGAGGGCUUUGCCCUGAUUUCUUUGUUUUUUCGUUUUCGCGCAGGGGGGUGGGGGUUGUGUUUUGAGCAUAGGGAAUGGCUGGCGACAGCAGGAGCCACAACGCCAGACUGGAUUCCAGGAUCCCAUCGUCUAGGGUUCCUCCUCGAGUCCAGCAGGAGUCCUGUUUUCUGCAGUUGAAGAGAAUGGCCUGAGUUUUCCCUUGAAUACAAGGACAGCUAUUUAUUGACAUAUAAGCUUUCAUGGAUUUAGAACCCUCAAGUCGUUCUUCCUUAAGGAUAUAAAAAGUUUGAAAAUA
Molecule: long non-coding RNA, 1079 nt
Organism: Equus caballus (horse)
Lineage: Eukaryota; Metazoa; Chordata; Mammalia; Perissodactyla; Equidae
Source: RefSeq, a predicted model, not a curated record